RNAcentral lists this long non-coding RNA (367 nucleotides) under Heterocephalus glaber (naked mole-rat). Its description in RNAcentral is "lncRNA (ENSHGLG00100043567.1)". The record is from RNAcentral. Lineage: Eukaryota; Metazoa; Chordata; Mammalia; Rodentia; Bathyergidae.
GUAAGUAUCAGUGCAUCUCAGGUUGCCUGACUCGUCCGUGGAGUCUGUUACCACCUAGGCAAUCCAAGUUGCUCUGAGCAUUUAUAGUCAGAUUAUCCCAACUCCCUGGCAAGGCACAGACCUGGGAUCUCACCAGCCCAAACUGCAGUCUUUUUCCAGAAGUUUUGAGGGAUCGAACUUGGGACCUUGCCUUUGUGAGACAGGUGGUAGAACCACUGAGCUAAAUGCCUGGCCCAAGAAAGCAUUGACUUAUAAAGAGAAGAGCUUACUCCCUUCUGAUGCUCUGGUCCCAUAUCGGGAGGCCCAGCUGGAUGGCAGUGGAGCAGACUGCUCCCCACAUGAGCCAGGAAGUCAGAGCCAGCAAGAG